AUUAAAAUUAAUAUUAUUAAGACAGUAAAAAGAAAACAUCACACAUGUUAUUAACACUCCAGACAAUUUUUAGUACACACCAAACACAAAUACAUUAAUAUAGACAAUAUACAAAUGCAAUUAAAUACAAAUUAAUAUACAAAUGCAGACCGCAAAGGAUUAAUUUCAUAAUUGCAAAGAAUGCAAUAUUCCAUUUAUAAACAGUUAUUAUACACACCUAUACUCCUGUUAUUCGUAAACAAUUCCAAAUCCCGUUAUGAUGAUAUAAAUCCCUUAUUUUACGCUACAACAGUACAAAAGAAACACAGACACAUCUAAACAACAACAGUCCGAAUUUACUAUUCCAUUCAUUCGCGACCGUUAAAUUAAAAUGUAUACACUUUCACUGACACUCGAAUAAAAUAGUUACAGAGUUAGAAAUAUCGAUGUUGAACUUGUUCUUGUUCGUACACAAUCGAAGGGGAGAACCGUUGGUAGAUUUACGUGGACGCAGAGACGUUUAUUGGCUACAGAUCCUGCAACGCUGAGAUAAAUUCCCUAUUUAGUGUUGUAGUCGAAACACGGAAGAAAAGAAAUGUAUCUAAACAGCAAAAACUGAAUUUCGAACAUUCCACAACACAAGACAUUGCAUAAAUAUAACAAAUUCUCAUAUUUUUUUAUGUUCUUAGCAUUUUGAAAUUAUGGCCAAUAUUCCUGAAAUGUGUAAACGUUAAAUUGUGUACAAUUGACGUAUUAACGUAAAUAUCAAAAUUCAGAAUGAAACCUGAACUUAAUAUACCAACCUUAUAUAUUAUCUCCAUUUUGGUGUCAAUCGAGUUUCAUAAGUAAACAAAUUCAUUAUAUCUCCAUUUGCUUCAUUUUACAUUCGCAAGAUUCGUUUAUAAAGGUUAGAAAAUGAAAUGCAUCGCGGAAAAGAACUUCCAGAGAGAGAAAAACCACGAUGAUUUUCGCAUUGUUACGGUUAUAUCGCGAAACAAAUAGGUCGUUAAAAACGUACAAUUGCCAAUUAUGUUAGUAAAAGAUGUAAUCACGAGAAGAAGCGUUCAGGCUACCCUCCGAAAGUGUCCCCUCGAAAUAAACGUAAAAUUCUACGAUUAUAACUCGGCAAUGUAAAUUGGUUCAAGUGCGAGAUUAUUGCAAAUUAAAUGUUGCGAAAACCAUCCGUGGAAUUAUUGUUGGGUUUCGAAAUGAAUUCCAUGACUUUCCUUUAAUUUAACAAUUUAUUAGCUACUUAUACACGUCUUUAUUCUUCGGGUUUCAAAUAUAUUCUAUUCGCCACGUGUCAACCGUCGCGGAUCGGCAAUCUUGCGCCGAAAAUUGUCGAAGAUUGCCGAAUCGUUCCGAUUGCCUCCGAACAUCCUAGCGGAGAUAUGCAGUCUUUCUCUAAUGUUUCUUUUCAACAAUUAUUAUAACAUCUCUGCACACUGUUAACGCGAAAAUGAUAUCGACAUAUAAAACAAAGAUAAAUCAACGAAACUUUCAUUCUCUGAAGUAAACACGAGUACGGAUUGGAAAAAUGUUAUAUUUAGUGUGGAGGAAAAAUUCAAUCUAGGUAGGCCAGAUGUUUUAAUUCGUAUUGACACGAUAUACAAGAAGAUGUGAAAUAUUUUUCGUAACACAACUUUAGCUCGGUUACGAUUUAUUUCCCGGCGCUCAUGCGUCGUAAAUUGUCGACAAUUACCGAAUUGUUCCGAUUGUCUCGAGAGACGUCCUAUGGCAAAUACGAUUCGAUAAACAAUGAUAAAUCUGCGAGACUUCUAUUUGCUGAAGCCAAUACGCCUACGGAUUGAAAAAAUAUUUAGUGUCGAGAAACAAUUCAAUCUACGUGAACCAGAUGUUUUAAUUCGUAUUGACACGCUAGAUGAUGAACACGAUGUCGAACACGAGAAGAUGUGAAAUAUUUUUCGUAACACAACUCUGUUAUGAUUUAUUUCGGUUCUUGGAAAAAAUUUCAUAUCAUUUAUUUUCCGCAACAUGAACAAUAAUAAUGAUACGCUAGAAAAUUAUUUAAAGCCCUAUUGUAGAGAAUACCACAGUGAAAAUUCAAUUUUCAUGCAGGAUAAUGCAUCGGGUCAUUUUGCACGUUCAUUAAGGGAGUUUGCCGAAAAUAACAUUCCGUUAUUAGAUUGACCUGCACGUUCCUGUAGCGUUAUCCUAUUAAAACUUCACGGGAAUAUCGAUAUAAUUUUUUAAAAUAAUCGUACAUAUUCUAAUGUGGAUAAAUUAAAAUUUGUUACAGUUGACACAUGGAAUAAUGAAGAAGAAAAUAUAGUAAAAAAUGUUACUGGUAAUAUGCCAAAUUUUCGUCACGUGACGAUGAGAACAUGGAAAAUAAUAGGAAGUUUACAGGAGAGAACCUAUUUCACAAUUACGUGGACGCAUAGACUGGUUCAGAUUCUAUAGACAGUACCGUUGGGAGAUUACGUGGACGCUGAGACGCAGCAACAUUUACUGGCUUCUGCGUGUUCGAGUGCCCUUCUGCGCGUACUUUUUUCGUUCAGCAGCGAAGAAAGUGCUAUUUCUGCUGGCGGGGAAAACCACUUCCCCGGGAGAUAUGCAAGGGAAUGGUAAUGGAAGCUGAAAGAAGUCGCGCGAGAGCUGACGUUACAAGAAAUUGCGUGCUUGUGUAGCUAAGCUUCCUCCGGAAAUAGGAGAAAUAACUGGAUGCUGAGAUUACGGGUAAAUUUUCGCUGCGCGGAAUUUCCUUUCGAAUCGAGCUACUUAUUCGCUUCGAAUAAUAAUAUUGGGUUAAACGUUCUCGGAAGUCAAUACAUUCAGUGACAAAAGUAUAGAACACGGUACAAAAUCAUACAAAUCUGUGUUAAUUUUUAAACUUAAGCUUUUCUUGUGUUGUGCUGUUUUUCUUUGGUGUGUCAUUAAGUUAGUGAACUCAAUAAGUGUUAUAUGAAUAAUUGUUUUUUACUAUUUCAAAAUAAAGAAUACCUUCAUUUAGAAAAAGUAAUAAUGAUUACAUUUAUAAAAAUAAUAAAAAAGAUAACAUUUAUUACAAUGAUAUAAUAAUGACAAUUAUAAAAAUAAUAAUUUAGGGAAACAUACACUAUUUUCUGAAAGUAUUAAAAACAAUUUAACAGUGAAAUUGUUGUAUGUAACUGUGUGAAUGCAUUUCUUGUAUUGAAUAUAAAUAUUUGUCGUUGAAUGUAAAUGUGUGGUUAAAAGGAAACAAAAGGCGUUUCUUGAAAACAAGAUGGCGCGAGUCUGCAAAUCAACAUGGCGUCGGUUCAUUCAUAAAACUGUGGCUCACAAUUACUUUUUGAAGAAAUGAGGCAAAUCUGAGUAACUUAAAAUGAAAAACUAUAAAUUUAACCCUAUAAUCUGUGAUAAAAUUAUAAGAUAUUGUGAAAGUGUUUAUUUUUGUAAAAAAUGAAGGUAAAAAUGGUAUUUGAAUUACUUGUUAGUAAUGUGGCGCCAUUGUUAAUGUUAUAUAACUUGUGACAUUUUAUAACGUUUUGGAAGAGAUUUGAAUGACUUUUCUUGCUUUCUAUUCUU
RNAcentral lists this unclassified non-coding RNA (3507 nucleotides) under Megachile rotundata (alfalfa leafcutting bee). Its description in RNAcentral is "uncharacterized LOC105662796, transcript variant X8". The record is from RNAcentral. Lineage: Eukaryota; Metazoa; Arthropoda; Insecta; Hymenoptera; Megachilidae.